CUGGUUUAAAAUGUCAGGGGAUAGAUAAUGAGAAAAACAAACAAGAAAGAUAUGAAGUAAAUGUGUUCUAUAUCAGGGGCUUUAUAUGGAGUGCCAGAGAAGUCUGCCCUAAGGAAUCAACAUUUGAGAUAGGAUCUCAAUGGAAUGUGGAGUUCCAGAGGCAAAAGUAUUGAGAGUGGAGUGUUUCAGGAAUAGUGUUUAUAGCUAAAAGCAUAGUGUGUUCAAGAAACAGAAUGUUAGUGUUGCUGAGGAGGUGGUAUCAUAAAAUCAUGUUGGAGGGGUCAAACCCAAAUAUAUAAUAAAGCUUAUAUACUCUGUUAAGGAUUUAUACCCUAAGAUUCAUGGGCAGCUCUUGAAGAAUUACAAGAGGAAAAGUAUUGUGAAAAGUAAUCUUAGAAUAGUCAUGCUGUGAGUUUUUUCUUAAUAGUAAAAGAUAGUAUUUUCUGGAAAGGAAAAGUAAGUGAAGGGCAAACUAAAAUACAAAGUGCUUUUAUCUUCAACUACCCUGAAAUACAAAACCCAAGGCAUAGAUCACUACCAUCUAUACACAUAAUAUACAUCUUAUUUUGUUUGUUUGUUUGUUUGCUUGGGUUUUUUUAUGUUAAUAUAAAAAAAUCCAGAUUAUUAAUUUUGGUAAUGAUAAAAACGACAACAGGAUGGUAACAGUUAACAUCAUGUCUCUUUUCUGAGCAUCUUACAUGUGUUAUCUAGUUUACAGUGACUCUACAAAGUGAGUACUAUUGAUAUCUCAUUUUGAUACUGAGAAAACUAAGAGAUGAUAAAACUACUGUGACUGAAACCAAGCCACAUUAUUCUCCACUGUGCUGCACUUUCUUGAAGUACUCUAUAAGGCAGCAGUGAAUAAUAUAAGAACUGGAAUCUCUGGCUCAUGGGAAUGACUUAAUUAGUUGUCCUUUUAGAUUAAAAAAGAAAUGACAGCAUAAAGACCUUUUUAAUAUGAGAGCAAGUGUCAGGAGCUGCACAUAAGAGAGGAGCACGUACCCUUAGCCUUGAGCCAUGGAGGUGUGGAACUGGCUUCCACUGCUCACAAAAGCAGAUGGACCUCACCUCCAACAGCAGAGGAGUAAAGCUCUGGAAGUGGGCGUCACCCAAUGGGACUGGGCUACAGCCCCUGAAACCCAACCCUUGCCAAUUUAGGUAGAACUUUCUCUAGUGUCUUCCCCCGAAUAAAUAGGGCUUAAGGUGUGCUCUUGCUCUCUCUUGUCUGCCUCUCUUGCUUCCCUUUUGGGAGCUGGGGCCAAGGAGCUCUUCACUGGACCCCAAGAAAAAGGUACUUUCUGUGUCUGUGUGAUUAUUCAGUGCCAUCCCAAUUCACUUGGAGUGACCCUGACUGAUUUAGUUGUGUUUUGCAGCUGGCAAGAAGUUAAUAUUAGGGGCCUGGGAUUGUGGCUCAGCAGUAGAGUGCUCGCCUAGCAUGUGUCAGGCCCUGAAUUCUAUCCUCAGCACUACAUAAAAAUAAAUAGAAUAAAGGUAUUGUGUCCAACUACAACUAAAAGAUAAAUAUAAAAAAAAGAAGUUAAUAUUGAAUGAAAUCUUUUUCUGGCUAUAUAAUCAAUUCAGUAUUCUGUGACACAUAAGAGGUACAUAUCUAUUUAUAUGAUACGUAUUAUACAUAAAAUAUAUAGUUCUAUGUGGAAUCUGAGAUUGACACAAAUAUACAGUUUCUGCAUUCUGUGAACAUAAACCUAUUCAAAUUACUUUAUUCAAGGCAAUGAUAAAAUAAGAAAUGAACAGAACAAUAAUAAGCAUUAUAGAAAUUCAAAACAAGAAAAGAUGAUUAUUAGUUACUUUACCAAAAAAACAUGUAAACUUGACCUUUGUCAUUAAGUAAUGACUAUAGUACAACUAAGCUGAAGAGUAAGGAACCUCAUAAUCCAUUAAGAGGUGACUGCAUCAUCAAACACAUCAAGACAGAAAUGUGGAAGGCAUUUGGAAUCAAUGAGUAGACUCAUCUAAGGAGAUAAAACUAAAUUCUCAAAUGUAAUGGGAUAUGAGAGAAUGGGAAAAUGUGGUCAUAUAUUGGACCAAGAUGGCUUAAUUAAAGAUUUUCAAAUUUGUAACAAGAAACAAUUAUUGAGAGUUUUUGGAGCAGAGAAGUGGCAAAAUAAAAAUGUUCUUCUAAAAAUGUUUUCUUCUGAGAAAAUAAUAUUAUAGGCAGAAAUGAAGGAAGAAGACUUCAGUCAGAGGUCCUAACUAGAAUUAAUUGUAAUAAUCAAGACAUAGUGAUUCAAAUUGAAGCAGUCAUCUUGAAAUGGAACUGAAGGAAUAUAUUUGAGAUACCUAUCUCUUUUUGGCUGGGGGAGCAGGAAGGUUAUUGGAAAUUGAACCCCAGGGGAGCUUAACCACUGAGCCACAUCUUUUGGCCUCACUAAGUUGCUGAGGCUGGUCUCAAACUUGGCAUCCUCCUGCCUCUGCCUCCCAAGUCCUGGGAUUAGAGGCAUGCACCAUUGUGUCCUGCUUAAGAUAUAUUUUAAGGGAAGAAUCUGUAGAAUGUAUUUUCUCAUUAACCAUAGGGUUUAUAUUUAUCCUGUCAAGAGUAAAUGAAGCUUUAUUCAUUGUUUUUGAUAUCGGCUAGGUGGUGGAUUUUUAUCUCCCUGAUUUUUUACAUUAUGCCAGAAUUACAAAAAAAUUGUAAGAUGCAAUAGUGUAACAUUAUAUUAUUUAAAUUGAAAACCAUUUCAUGAUACUUUGUUAAAACUAUAACUAUAAAAUCUGCAAAGUAAAAAUUACAUCUAGUCAUAUCCAAAUCAGCAUAUGGUGCUUGAUCGCUGACUGGCAUUGAAGAAGUUCUCUUCAUGGAACUGUUGAAUUAUUGCCACUAUUAGCAGGUGUUGCAAUAAAAUGUGCACAAUAAUAUUAAGCCAGUAAAACCGAAAUGUAUUUUGUAGCACAACGGAAACUUUUGAAAGGCCUGUUAGUUCCCUUUAAAAAUGAGGCUAAGGAGCAGGGGUUGUGACUCAGUGGUAGAGCACUUGCCUAGCAUGCAUGACGCACUGGUUUUCAUCCCCAGCACCAUAUAUAUAUA
Molecule: long non-coding RNA, 3046 nt
Filed under: Marmota monax (woodchuck)
Lineage: Eukaryota; Metazoa; Chordata; Mammalia; Rodentia; Sciuridae
Source: RNAcentral